Molecule: ribosomal RNA, 465 nt
Filed under: uncultured bacterium
Lineage: Bacteria
Description: partial 16S ribosomal RNA
Rfam family: Bacterial small subunit ribosomal RNA
Source: RNAcentral
GACGAACGCUGGCGGCGUGCUUAACACAUGCCAGUCGAACGGAAAGGCCCCUUCGGGGGUACUCGAGUGGCGAACAGGUGAGUAACACGUGAGUAACCUGCCCUUGACUUCGGGAUAACUUCAGGAAACUGGGGCUAAUACCGGAUAGGAAUCCUUGCUGCAUGGUGGGGGUUGGAAAGCUUCGGCGGUUUUGGAUGGACUCGCGGCUUAUCAGCUUGUUGGUGGGGUAGUGGCUUACCAAGGCUUUGACGGGUAGCCGGCCUGAGAGGGCGACCGGCCACAUUGGGACUGAGAUACGGCCCAGACUCCUACGGGAGGCAGCAGUGGGGAAUAUUGCACAAUGGGCGGAAGCCUGAUGCAGCAACGCCGCGUGCGGGAUGACGGCCUUCGGGUUGUAAACCGCUUUCAGCAGGGGCGAAGCUUGUGGUGACGGUACCUGCAGAAGAAGCACCGGCUAACUACGUG